Molecule: non-coding RNA, 46 nt
Organism: Anas platyrhynchos (mallard)
Lineage: Eukaryota; Metazoa; Chordata; Aves; Anseriformes; Anatidae
Source: Rfam
CCAAAGGCUCUUUUCAGAGCCACCCAUGUAGUCAGAAAAGAGUUGG